UCUUUGUAGUGACGGCCGACU
Molecule: unclassified non-coding RNA, 21 nt
Filed under: Mus musculus (house mouse)
Lineage: Eukaryota; Metazoa; Chordata; Mammalia; Rodentia; Muridae
Description: oocyte_clustered_small_RNA13096
Source: RNAcentral